This 30-nucleotide non-coding RNA is filed under the name Mus musculus (house mouse). Lineage: Eukaryota; Metazoa; Chordata; Mammalia; Rodentia; Muridae. The record is from RNAcentral.
UAAACCUAUUAGGUAGUGUUGUGUGACAAA